AACGAACGCUGGCGGCAUGCCUAACACAUGCAAGUCGAACGAGACCUUCGGGUCUAGUGGCGCACGGGUGCGUAACGCGUGGGAACCUGCCCUUAGGUUCGGAAUAACUCCCCGAAAGGGGUGCUAAUACCGGAUAAUGUCUUCGGACCAAAGAUUUAUCGCCUUUGGAUGGGCCCGCGUUGGAUUAGCUAGUUGGUAGGGUAAAAGCCUACCAAGGCGACGAUCCAUAGCUGGUCUGAGAGGAUGAUCAGCCACACGGGGGAUGAGACACGGCCCAGACUGGGGCGGGAGGUAGGAGUAGGGAGGGGGGGACGAUGGGCGAAAGCGUGACAGAGCUGGGCCGCGUGAAGGAUGAAGGCAGGAGGGUCGGAAAGCGCUGUUACACGUGAGGAUAAUGACAGUACCGGGGGAGUAAGCGCCGGCUAACUCCGUG
This 433-nucleotide ribosomal RNA is filed under the name uncultured bacterium. RNAcentral's name for it is "partial 16S ribosomal RNA". It matches the Rfam family "Bacterial small subunit ribosomal RNA", at positions 29 to 507 of the family's 1533-position model. The record is from RNAcentral.